This 468-nucleotide ribosomal RNA is filed under the name uncultured bacterium. RNAcentral describes it as "partial 16S ribosomal RNA". It matches the Rfam family "Bacterial small subunit ribosomal RNA", at positions 28 to 507 of the family's 1533-position model. The record is from RNAcentral.
GACGAACGCUGGCGGCGUGCUUAACACAUGCAAGUCGAACGGAAAGGCCCUGCUUUUGUGGGGUGCUCGAGUGGCGAACGGGUGAGUAACACGUGAGUAACCUGCCCUUGACUUUGGGAUAACUUCAGGAAACUGGGGCUAAUACCGGAUAGGAGCUCCUGCUGCAUGGUGGGGGUUGGAAAGUUUCGGCGGUUGGGGAUGGACUCGCGGCUUAUCAGCUUGUUGGUGGGGUAGUGGCUUACCAAGGCUUUGACGGGUAGCCGGCAUGAGAGGGUGACCGGCCACAUUGGGACUGAGAUACGGCCCAGACUCCUACGGGAGGCAGCAGUGGGGAAUAUUGCACAAUGGGCGGAAGCCUGAUGCAGCAACGCCGCGUGCGGGAUGACGGCCUUCGGGCUGUAAACCGCUUUCGCCUGUGACGAAGCGUGAGUGACGGUAAUGGGUAAAGAAGCACCGGCUAACUACGUG